AAUAGAUACCCUGGUAGUCCACGCCGUAAACGAUGAGUGCUAAGUGUUAGAGGGUUUCCGCCCUUUAGUGCUGCAGCUAACGCAUUAAGCACUCCGCCUGGGGAGUACGGCCGCAAGGCUGAAACUCAAAGGAAUUGACGGGGGCCCGCACAAGCGGUGGAGCAUGUGGUUUAAUUCGAAGCAACGCGAAGAACCUUACCAGGUCUUGACAUCCUCUGACAUCCCUGGAGACAGGGCCUUCCCCUUCGGGGGACAGAGUGACAGGUGGUGCAUGGUUGUCGUCAGCUCGUGUCGUGAGAUGUUGGGUUAAGUCCCGCAACGAGCGCAACCCUUGGCCUUAGUUGCCAGCAUUGAGUUGGGCACUCUAAGGUGACUGCCGGUGACAAACCGGAGGAAGGUGGGGAUGACGUCAAAUCAUCAUGCCCCUUAUGACCUGGGCUACACACGUGCUACAAUGGAUGGUACAAAGGGCUGCGAGACCGCGAGGUUAAGCCAAUCCCAGAAAACCAUUCCCAGUUCGGAUUGCAGGCUGCC
RNAcentral lists this ribosomal RNA (534 nucleotides) under uncultured bacterium. Its description in RNAcentral is "bacterial SSU rRNA". It matches the Rfam family "Bacterial small subunit ribosomal RNA", at positions 777 to 1309 of the family's 1533-position model. The record is from RNAcentral.